RNAcentral lists this ribosomal RNA (443 nucleotides) under uncultured bacterium. RNAcentral describes it as "partial 16S ribosomal RNA". It matches the Rfam family "Bacterial small subunit ribosomal RNA", at positions 338 to 795 of the family's 1533-position model. The record is from RNAcentral.
CCUACGGGCGGCAGCAGUGGGGAAUAUUGGGCAAUGGGCGCAAGCCUGACCCAGCAACGCCGCGUGAAGGAAGAAGGCUUUCGGGUUGUAAACUUCUUUUGUCAGGGACGAAGCAAGUGACGGUACCUGACGAAUAAGCCACGGCUAACUACGUGCCAGCAGCCGCGGUAAUACGGAGGUGGCACGCGUUAUCCGGAUUUACUGGGUGUAAAGGGCGGGUAGGCGGGGAAGCAAGUCAGAUGUGAAAACCACGGGCUCAACCUGUGGCCUGCAUUUGAAACUGUUUUUCUUGAGUGCUGGAGAGGCAAUCGGAAUUCCGUGUGUAGCGGUGAAAUGCGUAGAUAUACGGAGGAACACCAGUGGCGAAGGCGGAUUGCUGGACAGUAACUGACGCUGAGGCGCGAAAGCGUGGGGAGCAAACAGGAUUAGAUACCCCUGUAGUC